Molecule: ribosomal RNA, 428 nt
Filed under: uncultured bacterium
Lineage: Bacteria
Description: partial 16S ribosomal RNA
Rfam family: Bacterial small subunit ribosomal RNA
Source: RNAcentral
GUGGGGAAUAUUGGGCAAUGGGCGCAAGCCUGACCCAGCAACGCCGCGUGAAGGAAGAAGGCUUUCGGGUUGUAAACUUCUUUUACCAGGGACGAAACAAAUGACGGUACCUGGUGAAUAAGCCACGGCUAACUACGUGCCAGCAGCCGCGGUAAUACGUAGGUGGCGAGCGUUAUCCGGAUUUAUUGGGUGUAAAGGGCGUGUAGGCGGGACAGCAAGUCAGAUGUGAAAACCAGAGGCUCAACCUCUGGCCUGCAUUUGAAACUGUUGUUCUUGAGUGUCGGAGAUGUAAUCGGAAUUCCGUGUGUAGCGGUGAAAUGCGUAGAUAUACGGAGGAACACCAGUGGCGAAGGCGGAUUACUGGACGAUAACUGACGCUGAGGCGCGAAAGCGUGGGGAGCAAACAGGAUUAGAUACCCCUGUAGUCC